RNAcentral lists this long non-coding RNA (3325 nucleotides) under Homo sapiens (human). Its description in RNAcentral is "PREDICTED lncRNA (TCONS_00163287)". Lineage: Eukaryota; Metazoa; Chordata; Mammalia; Primates; Hominidae. The record is from RNAcentral.
CCCGGGUUCACGCCAUUUUCCUGCCUCAGCCUCCUGAGUAGCUGGAACUACAGGCGCCGCGCCACCACUCCCGGCUAAUUUUUUUAUUUUAUUUUAUUUUUUAUUUUUAGUAGAGACGGGGUUUCACCGUAGCCAGAAUGGUCUUGAUCUCCUGACCUCGUCAUCCGCCCGCCUCGGCCUCCCAAAGUGCUGGGCUUACAGGCGUGAGACACUGCGCCCGGCCCAUACUACUACUUUUUUGUUCUAUAAUUGCAAUGCAGGUUCAGUUAUUGUUUUUUUUGUUUUUGGCAAUGCUGAUGUAUCCAUUGGAAUCAAGUCAGAGAAACAGAAGCCACUUUUGGAUUUCAAACAGAAUUUAACAAAGAGAAUGUUGACACAGUUGAAAUUAGAGCUAAAAAAGCCAAACAAAGGAUAAGACGAUCCAGAAAUCUGUAAUGGCAGGAAGUUGUUACCAUGAUUAUGCUGAAAGAAGAAACCCAGAAGACCACCUUACUGGAUCUUAGAAGCCAGGACUACCUGGGAGAAGCUGGAAGUACACUACACAACAGACCUCCAUUCAUGCAGUAAAGGGUUGUUUGGUGGGUAAUGGAGCCACUGAGAAAAACUGGCCAUCGCUGGACAUAACAGUAGAGGUAGAGAGCUACAGGGAAAAACUGUGGAGUGAAAAACCUUGACUUCUCAUUUUAUCCUGCCUUCCUAUUUCUAUUGAGUGUGUCCCAUUGGUUGGCACUAGUUGAAAGCCAGUGGGCAAGGGGUUCUGGAAAAUUUAGUUUCCUCUGAUAUAGAUAAAAAGGAGGAAAAGUUGGAGAAUGAAACUGAGAGCAGAUAGGUAAAGUGGAAUGCACUAUGAUUUUAAGUAGAAAAAUGUUCACUUUUAAUUCUUUAUAUGGGCACAUUCAACUUUAACACAGAAUUAGAUAUUAUAUUUUUCUGAUUGCAUUUUUAAAAUAUCCUCAUAAAACAAAAUAUAAGAAUGAACUUUCUGGAGCAUAGAUAUACUAUUUUGUUUUUAUUUUCCCUUCGUAAACUAUAUUUGUUAACUUUGUGGGUGGUUUUAUAAGCUUCUUGGCAAGAAUGUUUAUUGUAUUUGUAUUUUCUAUAGCUAUUAUGAUUGUUAUUUAAUUGACAGAUAAAAAUUUUAUGUAUUGAUCAUGUACAAUAUGCCGUUUUGAAAUACGUAUACAUUGCAGAAUGGCUACACUGAGCUAAUGAACAUAUGCAUUGCCUCACACACUUAUCACAUUUGUGGUGACAACACAACAUCUACUCUCUUAGCAUUUUUUGAGAAUAUAAUAUAUUGUUAUUAACUACAGUCAUCAUGUUGCACAAUAGCACUCUUGAACUUACUCCUUCUAUAUAACUGAAAUUUUGUAUCCUUUAACCAACAUCUCCCCACCCUCACCCCUCACCCCUCACCCCAGCCUCUGGUAACCACCAUUCUACUCUCUACUUCUAUGAAUUUAACUUUUUUAGAUUCCAUAUAUAAGUGAGAUCAUGCUGUAUUUGUCUUUCUGUGCUUGGCUUAUUUCACUUAAUGUAAUGUUCUCCAAGUUCAUCCAUGUUUUCUCAAAUGUCAGGAAUUCCUUCUUUUUAAAGCUGGAUGAUAUUCCUUUAUAUGUAUCCAAUAUACAAUAUAUGUCUAUUAUAUGUACAAUGGUAUUCCAUUGUAUGUCUGUUAUACGUAUAUAUCUCACAUUUCCUUUAUCUAGUCAUACGUUGAUACAUAUUUUGGCUGUCAUAAAUAAUGCUGCAAUGAAAAUGAGAGUUCAGGUAUCUUUCACAUACUGAUUUCAUUUUCUUUAAAUACAUACCCAAUAGUGAGAUUACUGGAUCAUACGGUAGUUUUAUUUUCAAUUUUUGGAGGAAGCUUCAUACUGUUUUCUAUAGUGGCUACACUAAUUUACAUUAUCCGCAUCACUGUACAGUGGUUUCCUUCUCACCACAACCUUGUCAACAUUUAUUGUCUUUUGUAUUUUGAUAAUAGCCAUCUUAACAAGUAUGAGAUGAUAUCUUGCUUUUUAAAAUUUUUUAUUUUAUUUUAAGUUCUGGGAUACAUGUGCAGAACAUGCAGGUUUGUUACAUAUGUAUACAUGUGCCAUGGUGGUUUGCUGCACCUGUCAACCCGUCAUCUGUCUUGUGGUUUUAAUUUACAUUUUUCUGAUGAUUAGUGGUGUUUAGCAUAUUUUUCGUAUACCUGCUGCCCAUUUGUAUGUCUUCUUUUGAGAAAUGUCUACUCAAGACCUUUGCCCAUUUUAAAAAUUAAUUAUUUGGUUUUCUAAAAGUAAUAUUGAGUUUCUUAUAUAUUUUGGAUAUUAAUCUCUUAUCAGAGGUAUGGUUUGCAAAUAGUUUCUCUCAAUCUGUAUGUUGCCUCUUCACUCUGUUGAUAUUUUCCUUGAGUGUGCAGAAGUUUUUUAGUUUGAUAUAAUCCCAUUUGCCUAUUUUUGUUUUUGUUCCCUGUGCUUUUGCGUUCAUAUCCAAAAAUGUAUUUCCCAUACCAAUGUCAUGGAGCUGUUCCCCAUGUUCCUUUCUAGUAGUUUUACAGUUUCAGAUCUUACAUUUAAGUCUUUAAUCAAUUUUGAGUUGAUUUUUGUAUUUGGUGUGGAAAAAAAGGUCUAGUUUCAUUCUUCUACAUAUGGAUAUCCAGUUGUCCCAACGUUAUUUACUGAAGAAAGUCUUUUCCCUAUUGUGUGUUAUUGGUGCCUUUGUCAAAAAUCAGUUGAUUUCAAAUGCAUGGAUUUAUUUAUGAGCUCUCUAUUAAGUUUCAUUUCUGUAUGUGUCCAUAUGCUAUAAUAGUAACAUGCUGUUUUGAUUACUAUAGAUUUGCAGUACAUUUUAAAGUCUGGUAGUGUGAUGCCUCUAGCUUUGUUCUUUUUACUCAUUUUUUUUUUUUUUUUUUUGAGACGGAGAUUCACUCUUGUUGCCCAGGCUGCAGUGCAAUGGUACAAUCUCGCCUCAUUGCAACCUCCACCUCCCGGAUUCAAGCGCGUCUCCUGCCUCAGCCUCCCGAGUAACUGGGAUUACAGGCUCCCACCACCACACCUGGCUAAUUUUUUGUAUUUUUAGUAGAGACAGGGUUUCACCAUGUUGGCCAGGCUGGUCUCGAACUCCUGACCUCGUGAUCUGCCCGCCUCGGCCUCCCAAAGUGCUGGGACUACAGGUGAGAGCCACUGCACCCGGCUCGUCUUACUUAAUAUUGAUUUGACUAUUUGGGAUCUCUUACGGUUCUAUAUGAAUUUUAAGAUUUUUUUCUAUUUCUGUAAAAAAUGUCAUUGGAAUUUUAAUAAGGGUUAUAUUGAAUCUGUAGAUUGCCUUGAGUAGUAUGGAC